UACAGAGGGUGCGAGCGUUAAUCGGAUUUACUGGGCGUAAAGCGUGUGUAGGUGGCUACCUAAGUCGAUUGUGAAAUCCCUGGGCUUAACCUGGGAAUUGCAGUCGAUACUGGGCAGCUCGAGUUCGGUAGAGGGUGACGGAAUUCCCGGUGUAGCAGUGAAAUGCGUAGAUAUCGGGAGGAACAUCGAUGGCGAAGGCAAUCACCUGGGCCUGGACUGACACUGUGACACGAAAGCGUGGGUAGCAAACAGG
RNAcentral lists this ribosomal RNA (253 nucleotides) under uncultured bacterium. RNAcentral's name for it is "partial 16S ribosomal RNA". It matches the Rfam family "Bacterial small subunit ribosomal RNA", at positions 524 to 776 of the family's 1533-position model. The record is from RNAcentral.